Molecule: long non-coding RNA, 24210 nt
Filed under: Sorghum bicolor (sorghum)
Lineage: Eukaryota; Viridiplantae; Streptophyta; Magnoliopsida; Poales; Poaceae
Description: long non-coding RNA (SBIC_LNC009799)
Source: RNAcentral
ACCCUACUCUAAUUAGGUUUUGAUAUCUGGAGCUCAUAGGUGGGAGACAGCUAAUACAUACUUACAAGACAUUUAUUGCAUAGUCAAACCAUGGAUCCAGAAGAACAAGUCAAUAAGUCAAAUCAAGAUGUGCAUGUGUGGCGAAUGAAUGGUGUAUGGUGAUGAUGAUGAUAACAAUGGUGAAAGUCUAAUUCUACUUGUGCUCUUUUGAGGGAUACAUACCUUUCUUGCUCUUUUGAAACUUUUUGAGGAGAAUGAGAUGCUCUAUAUUUUCUUUUUCUUUCCUCUUAGGUGGGUAUCUUGUACCCCUAAUUCUACUGUCGGACACUUGUCCAUUUUUACCUCUCGUCUCACUUUUUUUCUUUUCUUUCGAGGUUCCGGGCACUUGCACCUUUUUAUUUCCUCGUUUCUUUUUUUUCUCUCUUUUUUUUCUUUUUUUUCUUUUUUUUUUCUAGAGCACUCAUCUCCUGAAAUAAUAUAGCAAGUGGUAGUAACCAAGAUAACUUGAGCAUUUAUUUCAUAGGGGAAAACAAAAAUGUUUUUGGCUAUUCUCUCCUGGAUUUGGAGUAGAAUAUUUUUGGGUGGUUCUGGAGAUGGAAAUGGAUAUAUAUAGAUGGUACUUCCGGAGUAGAAGUAGCAUGUGUGAGUGAACGUGCAAGUGAAUAUUGAUUCAACCACAUGACAAGCUCCUUAGGGUCUACACAGCUUGACCACACUCAGUGCUCAUAAGCAGUAAAAAGUAAAUGUGUGGUUCAUAGUCUAAUAAGCAUGUAUAUAUGGCUGUGGUAGGAAUUUAAACUCUCAUCAUAUAGGAACUCAUCAUGCGAUAUUUUAAAGAUUUUCAAAGAUAAAAUUCUCCAGAAUUCUAGCAUCUCUAGGAACAGAUAAACAACAGCUCAACCUUCUCAUAUCGUAUCCGUUAACUACUUAGACUUUAGAUCAAGUACUCUCCCCACAAGUUCAGGUUUAGAGCAAAUCUUAAUUAAUAACAGUCAUGCCUAAACUUGAGAGAGAUUUCAAUUUUUAGAACUAGUCAUGGCAGAGCAACUAUACAUCAUUUCCAUGUGAGAGCUUAUCAUGAGGAUUCAUAGCAAACUUUAUUUAUUUAUUUAUUUAGCAAACUAAGCAAAUAUAUAUAUAAGCACAAAAUCUUUAUUUGGGUUUAUAUGAUUAUGCAUCUUUUUACUAUUAGAGUAAAGUAUAAACGUGAGUAGAAUACUUAGCUGGAUAAAUGGGGGUGCUCUCCCCCAAGCUAGAUUUUUGACGUAAUUUCUUCUGAUGUAGCUAGCAAGUGGUGGAGGUGUAUUUGAAUGUCGGCAGCACCCUGACAGCGAUUAGGAUGUCCUCCGUCUGCUAGUCUUCUUUGAUCCUUGAAUUCUGUGGAGCUCAAAUAGACAACAAAGCUUUGUGGAACUAGUUAAGUGUUAGCAUAAAUAUCUAGCCUUUAUCAUGUUGAGCCUCCUCAUUAAAUGUUACACUCUUUAGUAGGAUCAUGAAUUUAUUUUUAUAUUCUUAUUUUUAUAGCGCAUAAAUAUAUUUAUUUUAUUUUUAUGCCACCACAGUGAAUGUACUUAUGGGUUUUAUGCCAUGAGCAUACUCACAUGGGGCUUACUAUUUUUUAACAUUUAUUUUCUUUUCAAGAUGAUAUGAACCUGAUUAACUAAGCAAACUAUUUUAAAUAAUUGAAAGGAAAUGGAUAACUACCAAGUUUACCUCUUGGCAAGGCGUUCGGUGUUUUUAAGUCCUCCGAACAGGACUCUUCGUUUUCUCAGUCGUCCUAGGAUUCGCUGGAUGGCGUAGUCGGUGGUUCCAGUGGUGCUUCUUCUUCAUGUAUAACUAUCUUCUCUCUACACACCUGCCUCGGUGCUACGGUCUCCUCAGGACAGUUCUGUUCAAGUUGUAUGUCUUCAGACCUCACUACUUCUCCUUCGUAGUAUGCCCAUCCAUCCUUGAUGAUUUGCCUCCUCUGGUUGCGGUUGCGUCGUCUUCUUCUUGUCCUGACCUGCUUAGAGUCUUCAACUAUAUAGUUAAGGUCAGUAAAAUAGCGGCGUACCUUCUCAGAGGGGAAGUGCAUGUGGACUUCUCUGGUUCCAAUGUAGAUGAUUGCUUUAACGGUGCUGAGGAACGGUCUUCCAAUGGUGAUGGGUGGAUUGUACUCGUCUUCUCCCAUGUCAAUAACCUUAAAAUCAUCUAGAGCUGAAUGUAUGUUGGUUGUAGGGACAUGGUUCCAUGCAGGAGCUGAUAGAUGGCUGCGGCCAUUAUGUUAAUGCCUGAUCCGGUGUCGCAAAGCGUCUUGUGCAAGUUGUAUCCAUUAAUGGAGCACUGAAUGCUUGGCAUACUUAGGUCAUCCUUUUUGGUCAGGAACGGUGACUUAAGUUGACGAUCUUGACCUCCUUGAACUGCAGUGACCAUCUUAGCUGACUUGGUCCACAUUUGCUUGUUCCUGUUCCUCUUGUUGGUCCUUCCUUGGUUCAUGUCAGGAUUGCUCUAAGAUUUGUGUAGUCUUUUUCUUGAAGGAAAACGUCUCUUUCUUCCCCUCGAUGUAGAAACUGAUCUUGGCAGCACUAGCGUAGAUGACAACUCCCGAGGUGUUCAGGAAUGGUCUCCCUAGGGCAUAAUGUUGACGCUGGAGCCAAAGUCGCAGAGUGCUUCUGGGAAGUCCACCAUGCCGAUGGAGAUCGGGAUGAUGGGGUGUCCUGGAUCGCCUCUCUUGACUAGUAGAAGGUCAGUAAUUACUUCCACAACGGGGUUACUCCAGUAGUUAUGUCCUCAAGCAUCUCAGGGCAGUGAUUGCCUGAGUGUCCAGUACCUCCAGUGUGUUUGUGCUUGUAGAUCUAGGUUCAUCACUUGGUGGAGUCUGGGAGUUGUAAAAGUCCUCCAUAUUUUGCUUGAAGUGUACCUGCUCAUAGAGACAAGGCAGAGAUCAAGUGCAUGGGCCCUGUUGGUGGAAAACACCAACAGAACCAAAAGGGUAUUCGUUCUCUCUAACCUUAAGCAUAGUGAGCAAGACAAAGUUGAUGGAUAAUAAGAUCAUGAAUGUAGCAUUUAAAACAUUUGUCAGAUCAGAUCGCUCAACCUAAUGGAAAGAUAAUCUAUCUAUACUUAUGUUUUUUAUAUAUAUCUUCCAAAGAUUGAGUGUAUAACAUUAUAGCUUAUAUGAUUAGGAGUGUGGAAUCACAAAGGUGGAAGGACUAAACAUGUUGAAUCGAUUGGGUUGGUUAAUCUAGAGUUGUAAAUCAUACAUGUUUGUCUCUUUUAUUCAAGUGAAUGCCAGAAUCAAGGAGAAGCUUAUAGAAGUGAUAGUCAAGUACCUUAAGAUGUUACCUUACUUGAAGAGUGAUGGUACAGUAUCACCUUGUGGAAGCUUUCCUCUCUUAGCGGUUGUGCAUUGUGUUUGUGGCACCUCCAUGGAUCAUCUCUUGUGAGCUAUGCCUUCCUUGUGUAAAUUGUUAACCUUCAUGCGUCUCUCUCUUUGUCUCCAAUGUGAGUUUGUCUCAGGACCUCCCAGGUUGACAUUGAAAGUUUUCCUGCAGGGGUUAAUCCAACAAAAUAUCCAAUAUCUACUAUAGCAUACUAUUGGCUCAAAGAUCAACCUAGACACCAUGUCUAAUUUGAUUUAGGAGGGCAUUUUAACCUAAGCACCAUGCUUAAUUUAAAACCCCUUGGUAGUAAGAUCAUCAUUCCUAAACUAAGCACCAAGCUUAAUUAAGAGAUAAAUGAAACUACUCCAAACCUAAACAUAUACUAAUGCAAAUAAAGGUAGCAUGAGAGCAUUUAUAGAGAUCUACUCAAGUGGAGAUGAAGUAGUGUGAUUACUAUUUAACAAAUUGAGCAUGUCUCAAAGGUAGGGACAACCAACAUAGCAACAUGGCAAAUGAUGUUUUUAUAUAAAGUACUCCCCCAAGCUUGAAUUUUGCAAAAUUCAAGUUUGGAUGAAUUUAAUUCAAUGUUGUAUGAUGAUUGGUUGGACAUACCUUGUGCUUGUCAUUCAUCCGAUCUUCUUGCUCCAAACCUGGAAAGGUUAGUGACAAGAAUACCCGAAGGAAUAUUUUUACAAUUAUCCUUAUAUGCUCAACACACAAGGUAAUGUUGCAAAUAAUUAAAAGCUCAUGUUACAGUCUGAUCAGUGCUUGUUUUAGGACACUAAGCUUGUCCUUAGGAAACCAUCGAUUUAUGUCAGUGAACUGGCUUCCCCUCCAAUGCUGACCUAUAUCAAGAUCAACUCAACGAGAUCUGCAAAAUUUAUUAUAGACAUAUGCAUCGACAACCGCCCUUUUAAAGUUUUUAUGAAUAGAAAGGAAGAGGGGGUUGGAGAUCUCGAAUGUGGUGAUGUUGGAGAGACCAAUGGAUUGUGAAGAUGUUGCAUAUGAGCAUGGAGUAAAUGAAGUGGCUAUGAAAUAAAUUCCAUGCUCAUUAAUGCUUAGAGUGAAAUCCAUGUGGUAUGGUGAAAGUGAUAAGGUGAGUGUGGUAAAAAAGGAAAAGAAAAAGGAUACACGGACGACUUGGUUCGAAACUAGCACAGCUACCGUUCCCCGGCAACGGCGCCAGAAAGCUUGUUGGGUAUUUUAAACGCAAACAGAAAAAUCCGCAAGCGCACGGAUACCUAUGUAGCUUUCACCCGGGAGUAUUCCAGAGUAUCGAUUUUCCACAGAGAACGUGAGUGUACGAAUUAAGAUCCAAGAUCGCCCAAGGAUAACUAUAUAAUUAUUUUUGGUGGGAAGAGAGGUAGUUUCCUGAGAGUUCUCUAGUUGAUCUAAGAAUCAAGAAUUACUUCAAGAUUAUCUAUAUCAGGACAUCAGAGCACUAACCACAGAAAGAGAUGAGAAGGGGGCUAGGAAGGUCUGACUACGGUCCUACAAACACCGAUCCGAACGUGGUGGAAUACGUCGACCGUUAGGGCUGUCACUACCCUAAGGCUACCACAACAAUCCGCAGGAUUGGGUGCAAUUCCAGGUAAUCGCAAGACUAAACACCACGUCUAAUCUAUUAAUUACUACUCUAGCGUUAUAAAGACUAGAGCACUUGAUGCAAGCGGGAAUCCAAUAAAUAACUUGAAUGUAAAUAAAAGUAAUUAAAGAACUCAGGAAUUAUGAAUUGAAGAACUUGGAGAACGAUGAAGAACGAACCAGAUGCUGCAAAAGUAUAAUGUUGAGGAAGAUCCGACAGAUCCGGCUCCUCCUCCGCUCUCCUCUUCUCUCUCCCUAUUUUCUAGAUUACAACUAGAACUAACUAGAACUAGAACUAGAGGAACUAGAACUAGAACUAGAUGAACUAGAACUAGAUCUAGAUGAACUAGAGGUAGAACUAGAAGAACUAGAGGGAUCCUCUCUACUUGGAUGAAGAAUUGAAACCCUAGCUUUGAUUCUGUAGAAGAGGUAUGAUCUCCAGGGGCCAGGGGGGUCUGGUUUUAUAGUCCCUUCAAGUGAAUCUGGGCCGUCGGAUCAAACCGACAUUGAUCGUGUGGUUUUCCUUGAAGUAUUAGGUCGGUGGAGCAUGAUCCCCGAACUUCACCCUGAUUGGUGGAAAGAGGUGGGCGGGCGCCCUCAGGACUAGGGCGGGCGCCAAGUGCCUGAGCCCUCUCGGCCUCCGCUUCGGUCCCGUGGCUUCUGGAGUCUUCUAGAUGAUAGAAAAUUGCGCGGCACGUUAAUAUCUCUAUGUAAACCCGACGUGUGGGCCUUUCUUCCGUAUUUCCUGAUAACCCCCUGCAGAAAUAGACAAACACCAAAACUUGUGGAAUUCUGUCAGAUAAAACCCUAAGUCUAGGUGUUGGUUGCAUUUGGAUCCUUUUCUAUGAUUAGUUGAUUGUUAAAUGUGAGCAUUAAGGACCGUCAAUACCUACCACAGCCAUACUUGCUAUAACAUCUUUUACUAUAUUGACAUUGAGUUUGAUCGAGCUGUGUAGACCCUUAGGAGCUUUUCAUGUGGUUAAAUUAAGAUAUUCACUUGCACACAUCCACUACACCAUUCACCACCAAUCAUUAAGAUUGCUAAAAAUAUUAUCACUCACUGUCCCAAGUGUUGUUAUUCUCUCUCUCCAAUAAGAUUCAAUGCAGAAGAGGCAUGGGUUAUGCAAAAAUAUAUGAGGAAAUAAAAGGGGGCAAGUGCCCGGAACCUCGAAAAAGAAAGAAAAGAGUGAGACGAGAGGUAAAAAUGGACAAGUGACCGAAGUAGAAUUAGGGGUACAAAGAUGCCCACUUGAGCCAAAAAAUGGACAAGUGUCCGAUAGUAGAAUUAGAGGUAUCUACUACCCACCUGAAAAAAAAAGAGAAAAAAGAAAAGAGAUAGCCCAUGUUCUCCCAAAGCAAAGAUCAAAGAAGAGGAGAGAUAGCAAUAUGAGGAGCAAUGAGAAGUAAGUUUUAUCAUCACUUAUACAUUUUUAUCAUCACUAUCAUUUACUCCACCACACAUGCACAUUUUCAUUUAAUUAUAUGUUGAGUUCCUUUGGAUCCAUGGCUCGAUUAGACAACAUAUGUAUGAGCUGUUUUUCACUCCUAUGAGCUCCACUUAAAUAUUCCAUUAGCUAUAGGUAAGUGACAUUUUGGUAAGGAUCCACAAAUGCCACAUAUAGAGAGACUUGAGAGAAUCAUUGCUGGGAACUCUGAGUUUUAUUUUUGAAAACUUAUGCAAAACCCCAGAACAAAGGUGAAGUAUAGACAGGAAGAAUAGUGCUUGACUUAAUUAUUUUGUCUUUUGAUUACUUAAGACUUAAGUGCAGGUACUAAGCUCCAUAACACUUCACUCUAAUCUGGAAGAAUUUUUAUGUAAAAGCAUGUGUGCCUAUCAGGAAAGAAAACAUCGAAGCAACUCCUGCUCCAUCUGGGUUUAGUUGUUUGCUUAGGGACGAGCAAAGGGUAAGCUUGGGGGAGUUUGUUGAUGGUCCUUAAGUACUAAAUUUAACCUUCAAAUAAACAAAGAAAAGGAUCUAAAUGAAACAAACAUCUAGAAUUAGGGUUUUGUCUGACAGAAUUCCACGAGCUUUGGUGUUUAUCUUUUUCUGCAGGGGGUUAUUAGAAAAUAUGGAGAGAAGGCCCACAUGUCAUGUUUACAACGAGAUAAUUACGUGCCGCGCAAUUUUCUACCAUAUAGAAGAAUCUAGAAGCCACAGGAACGAACGGGAAGGCGAUCGGGCCCGGGAGCAGGGCGCCCGCCCUCCCCCCUAGGGCGCCCGCCCAGGUGUUGUGUCCAAUCCCGUCCAACUUCGUGGAUUAUGCUCCACCGACCUAAAGGAUCAAGGAAAACCGUGUGAUCAAUGUCGGUUUGAUCCGACGGCCCAAAUUCACUUGAAAGGACUAUAUAAUCAAGGCCUCUCUAUAAUACCCGAUUUUAAGGAUAAAACCAGAUAUGCACCAUAUGUGAGUCUUAGAAGUCAAAUCUCACAUAUAGCUACAAAUAAGGGGUAAUAUCAAAAGACAAUGCAUAAAUAUAUAACGUACUUAGUAUAAAAGAGAUAAUCUUUAAUAGCAAACAGCGGAUAGACAACUCCAACUUCGGGUAUUAACUUGUCUCUACAGGAUCCAACUGACUGGUUGAUCACAAGCCUAAACUUCUCCUGAGGUUUGGGAGAAAUAGUAAGAGUGAGUCCAUGUCGGACUCCACAAGUAUAGCAACUAGAUUGUAUAGCUCCCACAAUCUCAUGAUCAAUGUGACAUAAAUCAUGUAAAGCAUUAAACAAUAAACAAUGAGCAUAAUUAACACACAAGAAUCAUCACCCUUAAUGUAGAUGUCCCCAAGGCCGCUCCUGACCGUGAGCUCGGCUAGUAUACUAGUUUUUAACCCUCUGCAGAGGUUGCACAUCUUUACCCAUGAGUCAUGAUUUACCCUUUCGCCCGAGGUAGCUAAUCUCUUAACCCCCUUCCUAGGGAGGUCGGCAGGGAUCACUAUGAAGUCUUUCAAAGGUUUGUCUAACCAGUUAGGGCUACUUGGUUUCAUUAGUCAGUCCGUGUGAUUCACCCGCAGGAAUCCACGGUCUGCUAUUCCCCAAUUGCGCCACAACGGGUAACCGCUAACGAGCUAGAAAAGUUACUCAUACUUAACUAAAGCCAGAGCCAUUAUAGCCCUCAUGGUUGCACUGUUGUCCUGGGUGAUCACGUACAGAUAAAUCAUCAAGUUGCUAAAAAGUCAUUUUUACCGUUUAUUACUUAACAUUAAUCUAGUCACACGAUCAUGGUCACAGAAAUAAAAUCCAAAUGCUAUACUUGCCUUAAUCCAAAUGCUCUUGUUGAUCCUUUUGGUUCUGCUGAUCCUACUUGUCCAAGGCUCUGAUCUUGAUCACUAAAGCACUCUUGAUCACCACGAAUUGCUUAUCGUCUAAACUCGAUCAUCGAUCACACAAACAAACGGAGAAAACAUACACGAAGUAAACAAGGCUACAAUUAGAACAGUACACUAAUCAUAUAAAAACAGUAUGAAAAGUUUAUAAAAAGAUUCUACGCGUCGCUACGAUUUCAUAGACGUAAAGAUCAUGAAAAACAGAGUUAAAACGGGAAAGUUAUGAAUUUUCUAAGAUUUUAUAUAGAAAAGUAAUUAAUUAAAUAGAGUCAUGAAAUUAAAAAGUUUCAAACUGAGAAAACAGUGAUUCUAACAUGUAGAGCUCACUAAUACGAAUCCAACGCAAUUUGAAUGGGUCGAAUCGGAUUUAAAACAAAGAUUUUAUGGCUAAAACUGUUUUAGUGGCAAACUUGUAAAUACUGGAAAGCGUAUUUUCACCUAAGCCAAUCCAGAAUACGUCUUUGGACUUUGGAAACGUAAAUGGGGAAUACGUAAAGGACCGCGGGUUCUAUUUGGAAGAACUUCAAGGGCUCUUUAACAAAAAUGCUAGGCGAAGGGGUACGGUCUAUUUUCAUCCGUUGGAUUUCGAUCUGAUGGUUGAGAAUCGCUCCAGGGAGAGGAAGAAAGGGCGUCAGCGACGCACAGUAACGUGACGGCGGCGCCAUGGCCGGAACAGGCCGGAGCCUCGCCGGAGCUUUACCAGACCCCGUUUCCGACCUCGGUUUUCGACGGGAUUAACGCAGGGAGAUAGAGGGACUCAAGGCGAACUCACCCAGGGCAAAACGUGAAGGCGAGGAGGGCUCGGAGAUGACUGGCCACGAAACCCGGCGGACGGCGGUGCUUAUGUGAAGUUCGGCGAACAAUUGAGCAUCACAGAGAGGGAUAAAAAGCUCAUGGAAUGCACAGGGAGGUUCAGGACCGUACCACGAAGCUCGGCUUCCACUUGAUUUCGUCGGAGCGGCUGCGUAUGGCAAGAACCAAGGCGGCGGCUUCUUCUCCUCGCGGUGAGAUCCAAACGGCAGCUCAGAGGUGGAAUUUUGGGCUAGGAAAUAGCGCAUGGAUGGAAAGAAAGAUGCAGCGGGGGUCAUGAAGCCUUAUAGGGCAGCUUGGUUUGCUCUGGGCAAGAAAUCCCAGAGAAAUCGGGAUCGGAUGCGCCCCUGGGAGAGUCCCGGUCGGCAACGACGGGAGGAAGAAGAGGGUACCGCUGACAUGUGGGACCGGGCUGCAGUGAGAGAGAAAGGAGAAAGGGGGGCGCGGGCUUGUCUAGCUGGGCCACGCGUUGGGCCGGAGCGAGGGGGAAGAAAAGGGGAAGGGCGGGGUGUGCGGCUUGGGCCGAUUUCGGCCGCGAUGGCGCCACUGCGCGAGUUGGGCCUGAGAGGGGAGCUGGGCUUUUGGCCGGGAACAGGGAGAGGGAGAGUUUCUGUUUUUUUUUCAUUUUUCUUUUAUUCCAAAAGCCAUUUGAAACUCAUUUCAAAAUCCUUUUAAAUCAUUUGGAGUUUUGAGUUCAAAUACACUCAGCACAAUAAACAAAAUGCAGGAGCAUGAGUGCACAAAAAUAUUGCUACACCCUAUGAUAAAUUUUAUUUUGAUGAAGAAUAUUAUUUCCUAUGUUUCAUGAGCACCAAAAAUUCAUAAUUAAAUCAUUUUAACUCUAUUUCCCAGAAAACAAUUUUUUUAGGGUGUUACAAAUCUACCCCCUUAAAAUGAAUCUCGUCCUCGAGAUUCGAAAGAGACACGGAUUCCAAAAGAGAGACAAGAACAAGAUCUUGAUAUCUAUUUCAACUUCACAACUUGUAUUCCAAUGUAAACACUCAUGUCUCGGGAUCACAACUUGUAAACAAAACAUCCAUAAAAUGUCUAUUAUUCAUAGCUGAUUAAAAACCAUCUUGACUACCAACUUUUUGACUUAUACAACUCAAAGACAUGAUAACUUAGCAUAGAUAUGCCUCCUCAUGUAGGAGUGGACCAUCUUGAUACUCAAUUCUUUUCCCUGAUGGUGCGGUUAAGAAAAGUUUCCACUGGGUAGCAUAGAUCACUACCUUGUGUGCACAUAACCAUCCAUUGCCAAGAACCAAAGGAAUAUUGAGUGACUCUAGCACAAUGGGGUUUACUGUGAAGUUCUCCUUGCUUAUGACCAGAUUAAUAUUCGAGCAAACCUAGUCUGCCUGUAUUUCUCCCUUUGGAGUUUGAACUAACAAAGGCUUCCUUGUUGGACACUUCCCCCGUUCAAUUGUUUUUACCAAGUUGGCAGAAAUGAAAGAAUGGGAAGCACUUCGGUCAAAUAGAGCAAAAACCAACACUGAGUCCACUUGAACAUAACCACCCACCACUUUGGUGACUCCUUGAAUGUUAUUCAUAUCCACAUUGUUCAGUCUUCCAUUGAAAUAAUUUUGCUGUACUUUAUUUCCGUGAGCAGGCUUCUUACGGGCUUUCCUUUUUCGCUUCCGUCGUUGUGGAUUCUGAUUUGAUUCAAUGUCAACUUGCUCUUCCGUAUUAUUACUUUGAUAACACUCAGCUUUGUCAUACUCAUAGCAUCUUUCUUCAAAGGCAAGAUGAUCAUAUUCUUCCCACCUAUCCAUGAGAGGUGUCAUAUUGUGCUCCGGAUCCAUGGGACACUACACUCCCUGUCAUCAAGUGACCAACGUCAGUAACACGGCAAGGAUAGAUGAUCAUAACCAUAGAAUAUCUCAGAAGACAAUUAUCACUUCAAGCUAGUUUUAAAAUGCAUCACCCGUGAUAUCAAGGUAUUACCCCCCCCCUUAAAAUUAGAUUGAUUGGGGGACACUAGGGACUAGUUCUCCUAUCCUUUUUGGAAUCCACACAUCAUAGUCUUUUACAUUCGUGGUACCGAGUCUCUUGAUCCAACAUUAUCCAAUUCUUCUCCAUGUAACCCCUUUAUUUAGGCUACCCCCCUUGAGAAAGGUCAACUAGGGGACCAAGAAAGGUAGCUUGCAUGUUUUCCAGACAGGUUAACUAGCAUUGAAAACAUCUGACAUCCCAAAGAACUUUUGUGCAAGAGAACAAACAGGAUUCCUGAAAUUUUCUCGUGAUAUGAAAGCACCAGCAUAGUAAAACAGGUAUAACUCUUAUUCUGUUAGUCCAAUAGAGUUGUCGCUUAUACCUUUAGAAAGCUUAUGAAAUUCCCUACAACUUUCAUAUAGAAUGCUUCCUUAGAUUCUGUAUUUAAGCUUAGGUAAAACAACCAAACAUAAUAUCCUUCCUGAUAAUGUCUCAGCAAAGGUGCAGUAACUUUCAGAAAUUAUAUCCCAAGCUACUUAACUCAUCUGGAGAUGAUCCUUACAUUUUUGAAAAUCUUAGAAAAUCCUCUACAACUUUCGUAUACAACUUUUUCCCAGAUUCUGAAUUUAACUUGACUGAAAAUAGGAAAUGCCAGAUCUGUCCAGAUUUUGAAACAGAACAGAAACAUCCAAUUGAAAAUAUCAUAUCUCAGGUUCUACUUAUCCAAAUAAGUCCCAGCUUAUACUGUUGGAAAUCUUAGAAAAUUUUCUACAACCUUUCUAUAGAACACUUUUCCAAAUUCUAUAGUUAUAUUUGUCUUAAACAGUAAGCAACCAAAACUGAUCCAGGUUCUUGACAGCACAGUUGUAUCAUCUUGUGAUUUUUGUAACUUCCAAACCAUAAUAGCUAUUAGGGUGAUUCUUGCAGUCAGGGAAAGAUCUUGAAGUUUAUUUGUUCUCAGAAAAAUUUGACAAACUUUGCAUGAACAGAACAUGAGAUACACCGGCAUUAUGGCAGACUGCUCCAAAAUCAGCAAGGGAUAGAAACAAGAGAUAGCCAAACCCAACUACUUAUUUCAUUAAUCCUUAUGCCUUAGGUAUAUAAACUAAUGAAAUUGUGGAGAAAUCCCACAAGAUCAUUGCAAUCAUUACAAAGAUCCAAAUCAAGCAUAAGCAUAAUAACAAACCAACUAAGCACACUUUACUCAACUUGCGAUACUAUCGUUCUCUUCAUAGAAGGGCAAAGAUCCUAAAACACCUAUUCCAAUGAUGCCAGAAGGUGGUAAGAAAAAGUUCUAAAAGCAUAUCAAGCAAGGAGUGGGGAUGAGAACAAGUACCUUUAAAAUAAGCAACAAGGUAGAGACAAAUAGCAAGGAUAGGGAUAUAGUAUGGAUGAAAAUACCAAGGUUUAUAGAGCAAAGAUUUUAUGACAAUUCUAAAACCUUAAGACGGCCAAUUACUAACUAGGCUUGCGUCCUACGGUCAGCAUUGCUUUGAUACCACUUUGUAAUACCUGAUUUUAAGGAUAAAACUAGAUAUGCACCAUAUGUGAGUCUUAGAAGUCAAAUCUCACAUAUAGCUAUAAAUAAGGGGUAAUAUCAAAAGACAAUGCAUAAAUAUAUAACGUACUUAGUAUAAAAGAGAUAACCUUUAAUAGCAAACAGCGGAUAGACAACUCCAACUUCGGGUAUUAACUUCUCUCUACAGGAUCCAACUGACUGGUUGAUCACAAGCCUAAACUUCUCCUGAGGUUUGGGAGAAAUAGCAAGAGUGAGUCCAUGUCGAACUCCACAAGUAUAGCAACUAGAUUGUAUAGCUCCCACAAUCUCAUGAUCAAUGUGAUAUAAAUCAUGUAAAGCAUUAAACAAUAAACAAUGAGCAUAAUUAACACACAAGAAUCAUCACCCUUAAUGUAGAUGUCCCCAAGGCCGCUCCUGACCGUGAGCUCGGCUAGUAUACUAGUUUUUAACCCUCUGCAGAGGUUGCACAUCUUUACCCAUGAGUCAUGAUUUAUCCUUUCGCCCGAGGUAGCUAAUCUCUUAACCCCCUUCCUAGGGAGGUCGGCAGGGAUCACUAUGAAGUCUUUCAAAGGUUCGUCUAACCAGUCCAUGUGAUUCACCCGCAGGAAUCCACGGUCUGCUAUUCCCCAAUUGCGCCACAACGGGUAACCGCUAACGAGCUAGAAAAGUUACUCAUACUUAACUAAAGCCAGAGCCAUUAUAGCCCUCAUGGUUAAACUGUUGUCCCGGGUGAUCACGUACAGAUAAAUCAUCAAGUUGCUAAAAAGUCAUUUUUACCGUUUAUUACUUAACAUUAAUCUAGUCACACGAUCAUGGUCAUAGAAAUAAAAUCCAAAUGCUAUACUUGCCUUAAUCCAAAUGCUCUUGCUGAUCCUUUUGGUUCUGCUGAUCCUACUUGUCCAAGGCUAUGAUCUUGAUCACUGAAGCACUCUUGAUCACCACGAAUUGCUUAUCGUCUAAACUCGAUCAUCGAUCACACAAACAAACGGAGAAAACAUACACGAAGCAAACAAGGCUACAAUUAGAACAGUACACCAAUCAUAUAAAAACAGUAUGAAAAGUUUAUAUAAAGAUUCUACGCGUCGCUACGAUUUCAUAGACGUAAAGAUCACGAAAAACGGAGUUAAAACGGGAAAGUUAUGAAUUUUCGAAGAUCUUAUAUAGAAAAGUAAUUAAUUAAAUAGAGUCAUGAAAUUAAAAAGUGUCAAACUGAGAAAACCGUGAUUCUAACAUGUAGAGCUCACUAAUACGAAUCCAACGCAAUUUGAAUGGGUCGAAUCGGAUUUAAAACAAAGAUUUUAUGGCUAAAACUGUUUCAGUGGCAAACUUGUAAAUACUGGAAAGCGUAUUUUCACCUAAGCCGAUCCAGAAUACGUCUUUGGACUUUGGAAACGUAAAUGGGGAAUACGUAAAGGACCGCGGGUUCUAUUUGGAAGAACUUCAAGGGCUCUUUAACAAAAAUGCCAGGCGAAGGGGUACGGUCUAUUUUCAUCCGUUGGAUUUCGAUCUGAUGGUUGAGGAUCGCUCCAGGGAGAGGAAGAGAGGGCGUCGGCGGCGCACAGUAACGUGACGGCGGCGCCACAGCCGGAACAGGCCGGAACCUCGCCGGAGCUUUACCAGACCCCGUUUCCGACCUCGGUUUUCGACGGGAUUAACGCAGGGAGAUAGAGGGACUCAAGGCGAACUCACCCAGGGCAAAAUGUGAAGGCGAGGAGGGCUCGGAGAUGACUGGCCAUGUAACCCGGCGGACGGCGGUGCUUCUGUGAAGUUCGGCGAACAAUUGAGCAUCACAGAGAGGGAUAAAAAGCUGAUGGAAUGCACAGGGAGGUUCGGGACCGUACCACGAAGCUCGGCUUCCACUUGAUUUCGUCGGAGCGGCUGCGUAUGGCAAGAACCACGGCUGCAGCUUCUUCUCCUCGCGGUGAGAUCCAAACGGUAGCUCAGAGGUGGAAUUUUGGGCUAGGAAAUAGCGCAUGGAUGGAAAGAAAGAUGCAGCGGGGGUCAUGAAGCCUUAUAGGGUAGCUUGGUUUGCUCUGGGCAAGAAAUCCUGGAGAAAUCGGGAUCGGAUGCGCCCCUGGGAGAGUCCCGGUCGGCAACGACAGGAGGAAGAAGAGGGUACCGCUGACAUGUGGGACCGGGCUGCAGUGAGAGAGAAAGGAGAAAGGGGGGCGCGGGCUUGUCCAGCUGGGCCACGCGUUGGGCCGGAGCGAGGGGGAAGAAAAGGGGAAGGGCGGGGUGUGCGGCUUGGGCCGAUUUCGGUCGCGAUGGCGCCACUGCGCGAGUUGGGCCUGACAGGGGAGCUGGGCUUUCGGCCGGGAACAGGGAGAGGGAGAGUUUCUAUUUUUUUCAUUUUUCUUUUAUUCCAAAAGCCAUUUGAAACUCAUUUAAAAAUCCUUUUAAAUCAUUUGGAGUUUUGAGUUCAAAUACACUCAGCACAGUAAAUAAAAUGCAGGAGCAUGAGUGCACAAAAAUAUUACUACACCCUAUGAUAAAUUUUAUUUUGAUGAAGAAUAUUAUUUCCUAUGUUUUAUGAGCACCAAAAAUUCAUAAUUAAAUCAUUUUAACUCUAUUUCCCAGAAAACAUUUUUUUUAGGGUGUUACACCCUCCACCCCAGGGGGAGAGAGGAGAAAUCAUUAUGAGAGGUAGCCAUCAAAGUUAGGGUUUAGACAUCUCUCCCCAGAGAAUUAGAAUUAGCUACUCCCUAAUCCUUAAAGUUUAGAGGAUUGAUUAGAUAGCAAUUAGAGAAGUAGAGCACUACGCUCUGGAUUCGGAUCUUCGGUAAUAAAGAUUGGUAUUAUUUCAUAUCUUUCUCUAAUACUUUGUUCUAAUUGUAUUAUGUCUCUAUUUAUUAUGCUCUUAGUUUGCUCUAGUUCUAUAUUUGAUAUAGUUAUGAUUGAUAAUGUGUUUAUGUAUAAGUUUGCAAAGCGCUUAGCUCUUGACGCGAGAGAGUUAAGUGGUAGAUCACAUGUAGGCGUGGUGCUUAGAUAUUAUUUACCUGCAAAUGUAUCCUAUUGGCCAGGUCGUGUGGUAGUUCGCGAUAGUGACAGCUUCGUUGAUUCUUAUAUAGUCCACCCUCCGUUGAUAGGACAGGCAGAAUUUGUAUUGUGGAGUAAGUCUUGGGAUGUUCUGAUUUACUUUAGCAAUGUUCCUUUUACAUGAAUGAAGAGUCUUUUAUGCUAUAUAUGAUCUUGUAGAUAACUAGAGUAGAUUGUGACUUAGUAGAUAGUAGAUAACUUAGAAUCCAUUCUCUAGCUAAUCCGACGUCACCUUACAUAUAUGAGGAGUAGUCUAUUUUCUAAUGGCUGUGUUAUUUACCCAUGAGCUUAUAUUUCAUUAUCAUUAUUAUUAUGGCUUACCCCCUGCCAAAGUAAGUAACUGUGUGACGAGUUCCUCAUUAGUAAUCAUGUUCUUGCAAGUUUAUCUCUAAUCUAUGCCUUGAUAGAUUUAUCCUUAUCUUCAUUUAAUCCUUUUCUCCUGAGCAAAAUUAUAAAUAACGAUACCUGGAAUACUUACCUGGUGAAAUGCUACAAUGAGGUGUUUUAUCUGUGCGCUUGCGGAUAGAAUAGAUUAUUUUCUAGAGAGCCUUUACAUGUAUAAAUACCUUUGUACACUCUGGCACCAUGCUGGGGAUGACAACCUAGUAUCUAAGUGGUGUUAGCUAGUGUCAACACUAGUCACCCCUAAAAACUAACACCAACACAUUUAGCAUCAGUUUUGUAAGAACCGAUAGGGAUAAUUCCCACUAUUGGUUCAAAGGCAGGUCGGGCAUGGUGGGGUGCAAUACCGAUGGUGAAAAUUAUUUUAACUAUCGGGUUGGCAUAUGAUUUGGUGGUGAAAAACCCCACUAGUUAUCACCUCCAGAUCAUACAUUGCAAUAAAAGUGAAAAUAAUUUUCACCUCCUAAUUUUUUGACUACUACUCCACACACUAACAAACCGAUAGAGGAAAGAAGUUUCUCCACUGGUGUGAAGGUAGACAGGCACAAUGGUCAUUUGAGCUAGCGGUGGAAAUUGUUAUCACCAUACCACUGGCUCAGGGAUGGACUGGUGGUGAAAAUCACCACAGCUUCCACCACUGAAUCAUCCGCCAAGAUGGUGGUGAUAACAAUUUUCACCACCACUUUGUUUAGCCACUACAUUCCACCUACAAUGACCUAGUUAUGUUGUCGGUGUUUAACAACCAACAACUUGUCAUGGGGUUACCUAGGACAUAGUUUGAGGGACUUCGGCGUAUGAUCCAUCAGUGAAAACCGCCUAGAAUAAAACCGCUUUUCCCUCCUAUUCCUCAGCACUCCCUCUAACUUCAUAUCUUUCAAGAAAAAUACUUGUGAAGCUUCUGUGGCUACAUUGAAAGGAUCAUUCUUAUACCAUAGGCCUGGGAUGUUAAUGCUCUUGAAGUAACCAUCAUCUUUCAUCUGGUAUGUCCUUCCCUCAAGAUGGUGCCAUUCGCACCAUAAUAAGAUAACAGUUCUCUGCCCUCUACUGUCUUUAGUAAUUCAACUCGAUAAUGUCUAUGAUUGUCCCAUGGAAGUCAAAGUGUCAUCAUUGUGAGUACCUGUAGAUUUGAUGGUGGAGUUUUGUGUCUUCAUGUGUUCUUCACGAGCCAAAGUGUAUUGUCAUGCAUUGAUCCUCCUCACUCCAUGACACAUCUUGAUAUAUUGGAAGCAUAACCAUUUGGAAAUUUAACAUUGCUCACAAACUGCAAGAACUUCUUCUUUGCUUCAGUUUGUAGAAUGUAACAAGCUCUAGGCUUAUUUGAGUCUCCUACCAAAUGAAGUUUUUUUCUUAUAUCUCUAUCUUCCAAACCUAGUCUAGCAACAAUUGUGUCCUUAAUCUUAUUUGGAGUAUUAAGUAGAGUGUGCAAAAUGUUUUCACAUAUGUUUUUCUCUACAUGCAUAACAUCAAGGUUGUAUUGUAGCUUUAGUUUUGGCCAAUAUCGCAAAUCAUAGAAGCUAGCCUUCACAUGCCAAAUUGGUUCUCCUUCACGGCAGCGUUUUCUAGAUUUCUGUUGUUCUAGAUUCUUGCUUGGAACAUAGCAAACUUCAUCCAACCUUGCCAUGACCUCGUCUGCACUAAAUUUCCUUGGCUGCUCUCUUUUUCAUGCUUGCCAUUGAAAGAUUUGUUUUUUCUCCAUUCAUGGUCAUUAGGGAGGAAACAUCUAUGGUCUAUGAAACCAAUUUUGUUUCUAAGACAUUCAGAGCAAGGAUUCUCAUCACAGUGCACACAUAUGAAGUAACCCCUCGUGGUUCUACCUAACAUAGUACCUAAAGUAGGGUAGUCAUAGAUUCCACAUAGAAACUCUACACACAGAUUGAAAUCUUUGUCUUCAUAUGCAUCAUAAGUAGGGACAAGGUCCCAUAGAGUAAGCAUGUCUUUUGUCAAAGGUUGCAUGAACACAUGGAAAUCUUUGCCUAGUGAUCUUUUGCCUAGAAUUAGUAAAGCAAGCAAAUAAUUUGAUUGGUCCAUACACAUCCACGGUGGCCAAUUGUAUGGAACCACUAUCACUGCCCAGAUACUACAUGAAUUGGUCACCUGACUGAAUGGGUUAAAUCCAUCAGUAGCAAUGGCUAACCUCAAACUACGGGGAUCAUCUACAAAAGACUUGAAAGUAUCAUCAAAUUAUUUCCAAGCUUCUCCAUCAGCAGGAUGUCUCAUUUCAUUCUCAACCGAUCCAUCACUAUGCAUGCUACUUUGACAAAAAGUACCUUGAAAGUGAGGAAUUAUUGGAAAGUAACACACGACCUUGUGAGGAACUUUCUUUCUGACCUCCUUGUUUACUUUCCAUCUUGUGAAGCCACAAAUUGGGCAAUGCUGAUCCUUUGCAUGGUCAUCCCAAAACAAGGCACAGUCAUAUUGGCACACAUCAAUUUUCUCAUAACCAAAACCAAGCUUCCGAAGUAGAGCUUUCACUUUGCUAUAGGACAUAGGGAGACUAAGCACAUUUUUCAUUGAAUUUGAUAGAAACUCAAGGAAUGCGUCGAACCCAGAAUUUGUUAUCCGAUUGUACACUUUUAUAUGCGAUAGUUUAAUAGUAAAACUUAGCCUAGACUCCUCAGUGCAACCUAGAUAAAGCUCACACUUUGCCUCCUCCAUGAUUUGUUUAUAUAAGUUACCACCGAAGCCAUGCCUUUCUAUGGUGUACAAAUAUUGAACCAACCCCUGAACUCCACGUGCACUAUCUUCAAUGACAUCUUGAGCUAAUCCUUCAGCACCAUGCAUGUGGUGGCUAGUAAUUUCCAAGUGGGGUCUGGUCAUUUCCAUCCCAUAACAUAUCUUCAGUACUAACAACAGGGAGUGUGCCAUCAUCAUCUUGUUCAUCAUCAUCUCCCUCUCUAUGGUAAGCCCACCUUGUAUAGCACCUAUAAAAUCAUUGAUGUUGAUAUCCUCCUCUACAUCAACUUGACUAUUUUCUUUUCGGUUCAGGCAGUGACAGCAUGGACACUUGAUUUUCUCAGUUGCACCAAAUCUACUUCUCACAUGUUGCAUGAAUUGGUCAACACCAACAAUAUAGGCUCCAUCAAAUGGUAAGCUCGUAUAAAUCCAACUUUUGUCCAUGCCUUGCUGCAUAAAUUGAUGUGCCACAAUGUUACAAAUCCAUCACCUUGUUACAAUCCAUGUUCUAUCCAUCAGCUUGUGCAAAGUUUCAUAAAAUAAAACCUCACACUACUACACAAAAUCUUUUGCACAACAUUUACAAAUAGACCUCGGAGGUGGGGAUAUUUUUAAACUAACUCGGUUAAUGCCUCAAUUAACCGAGGCGGUUAGAAAAUACCCGCAUCCAAAAAUGCAUUAACCGAGGCGGGCAACAUAAAAAACUGCCUCGGUUAAUGCCCUAUUAAACGUGGCAGUCGUGCUAACGUAACCACCUCGGUUAAUCAAUUAACCGAGGCAGUCAUCUGUAAGGCUUACCUUGGAAUUUUUUUUGAAGAAACAGGAGGGGACAAGUCCCUACUAAAAUUUAUUGAAAGUAGUAGCCCGCUACUGUUUUCUGGCCCAAUAUCUAGCUCUAGCUAUAUAUAUUGAGAAAACUCUAACCUUCGCUACUCCUCCCAAGCGCCACUCUCUCAUCUACCUCGCCCAGUGCCACUAUCCUCUCUCUCUCCCACCGCCGCACACCACCUCUCACCACUUUUCUGAAUAUAUCCACUAGGAGGAGUGCUAGUUCCUCCCCAUCGUGUCCAUCUUGCAUGUAGACCUCUCAAGCACAACCUCUCCUAGACUUGCAUGCACAUGCAAACAAAGUGCCCAAGGAACACGAGAUCCUAAGCCCCCUUAUCAUGACACCCCGCCGCACACCACCUCUCACCACUUUUCCGACUUUAUCCACUAGGAGAGUGCUAGUUCCUCCCCAUCAUGUCCAUCUUGCAUGUAGACCUCUCAAGCACAACCUCUCCCAGACUUGCAUGCACAUGCAAACAAAGUUCCCAAGGAACACGGGAUCCUAAGUCCCCUUAUCAUGACACCCCGCCGCACACCACCUCUCACCACUUUUCCGACUUUAUCCACUAGGAGGAGUGCUAGUUCCUCCCCAUCAUGUCCAUCUUGCAUGUAGACCUCUCAAGCACAACCUCUCCCAGACUUGCACAUGCAAAGUGCCCAAGGAACACGUUAUCCUGAGCCCCCUUAUCCUCCAUGAGGCCGGGCCCACUUACAUCUGGUAGCUUUUCUAGGACAUAGUCAGUCCCCACAGACCAACACUAGUAUUUUCUGCACACUUUGUCCUCACUCGUGCGCACCCGAGAAGUACUUCCCGGUCGGUCACCCAUCCCUAAAUUUCUCUAGGCCAAGCACGCUUAACUUUAGAGUUCUUUGAAGAUGGGUGUCGGCGUCUAGACUCGUGGUCUAGGCACAAACAAGUAUAAGAUUGCGUGACUACCUAAGCCUGGAUGGUGAUGCAAAUGAAACACAGAGAAUUUAUACUGGUUCGGGCCAAGAAUGCCCUACGUCCAGUGAGAUCGGGGGGUCUGUAUAACCUUGCACCCAAAGGUGCUUGUAGUAGAGGGGUACAAGCGGGUUGCGAGAGAGGGCUAAGUCCCAAGUCUCGGCUUUGUGGCGGACAGAGCGCUGGUUGCUAUUCUGCGAGUGAGUGUGGUGAGCCUUGUGAACCUGUCUUUAGUUGUGAGCCCUGGCUCCCCUUUUAUAGCCUCAAGGGAAGACAGGUUUUUACAUGAGUAGAUUUCCUCUGUUGAAUGGUGAAGCCACAGUCCCGACCCUGUUGAAGCCGGUCCAUCUCGUCCUUGAGGGAUGGCUGACAGCAUGGCUGCUCUUGUAGAGGGUUACCGAGCCCUGUAAGAGUCAUGGGGGUCGGAUCGGUGAUACUGCUUCUUGUCCUAUUAACUGUGGGAGGAGACAGCAAACAGUGACGCUGAUUAACCUUCCCCACUCCUCUUUCACUGUGAGGCAGUACACCACAGUGAAAGAGGUAAGGUUGCAUAGUGAAAGAGGUAAGGCCACAGUGUCCAGGGUGGUUGGAAUAGUCGCCACCAUGCCCUGCAGUGAUACAGAAGUUACUGCGCCUGUCAUGUCAUGGGAAUGGACGCCGUGCGUCAGAAGCCUUGCCCUGAUCUGGUGGAACGUCGUUUGGCGCCCGAGCCCUGGAGGGGUCGAGUGAGUCGGAACUUACACCCGAGGCCGAGGGGAUCGGGCGAGACGGUGACUGCGUCUGAGCCUCUAGGGGGUCGGGCGAGGCGGAACUUAUGCCUGAGGCCGAGGGGAUCGGGCGAGACGGUGUCUGCGUCCGAGGCCCAGGGGGUCGGGCGAGUCGCGGUUUGGCCUUGAGGCUCAGGAGUCAGAAGAUCUGGGGCCCGUGCCCUGGUGAUUGUGGAUGACUUGUUUUGUCCUUUGCGUUUUUUAUCGCUCUGAUCUGGGUAUCCCCUUUUAUGGUACCCAACAGUAGCCCCCGAGCCUUUGAAGGGGUGAGAUCACCUCUUCAAAGGAUCUCUUCUAAGGGACCAUUGUUGGUCGGGAACCUUUGAAUUCUUCUCCGGAGGGUGCGCGCGAGCGCACCCGCCGGGUGUAGCCCCCGAGCCUUUUGGUGGAAUGGUGUUAUUCCUCCAAAGGCUUUUACCCCUGAGUGAUACGGUCGGGAAUAUUUGAGGGAUAUGUUUGUUGACACUUGCUAACACCACUUGAAUACUAGGUUGUCAUCCCCAGCAUGGCACUAGAGUGUACUAUGGUAUUUAUACGCACACAGAUAAUCCGCAAGCGCACGGAUACCGUUGAAGCUUUUACCCGGUUAAAGGUUUUAUCGUAUCCACAGGGAAACGGGAGAACUGAUCUAUGCUCUAACUUAACCAAGAUAAGUAAAUAGGUGUAAAUAGGAAAGAUGGUAGAAUCGAAUAAGAACAAUAUUAAAGGUAAGAUAACAGUGAGUGAUAAUAUGGGAAUAGAGAAUAAAGCAAUUCUAGUAUAUGGGCGAUGGUAGCAGAAUAGAGAGAAUAACUAUGGUUUCUCUACAUCAAAGGGGUAUGUCUAUGUCUGGGACGAACCACGUGAUAAGAGUACACCACAAAGGAUGCUUAUCCUUAGGCCGAUAAACCCUACCCGUCCUGCUAACGAGAGGUGGACUACAGAGGACCAACGUAACUGUCACCUACGCGGCCUACCACACGAUCCAGCUAGACAGGGGAUAUCCACAAGUAAUCUAGAUCUAAGCACCUCGCUUACACCUAUACUACAACUCUCACCUAUAGCGUCCUAUAGAUUAGAAUACUCAAAAGAGUUGUGAACCAGAACAUACAUGAUUAGUAAUUGCAUAAUGAAUUAGAAGUAGAUUAUCAGAGUCAUCCCAUGAGCAAGCUUGAUUAGAGCUUGAUCAUGACAAAGUACAACCGGAGGAAGAACCGACAGGCCGGCCUCUCCUCUAAUCCUCCUUCGCUCUCCAUCUCGCUACUAUCUAGAUCUACUCUAGUUUAGAGAAGAGAGGAGAGCUCUCAUCUCUAAACCCUAGCUUUUGCUCUAUCUAUGAAUAAUGAAUAAUGAUCAAGGGGUGCCUCCUCCAAGGGCCAGGGGGUCUGGUUAUAUAGUCUUUUUAGAUAAAUCUGGGCCGUCGGAUCAAACCGACAUUGAUCGUGUGGUUUUCCUUGAAGUAUUAGGUCGGUGGAGCAUGAUCCGCGAAGUUGAAGCUGAUUGGUUACUGUAGCUGGGCGGGCACCCAAGGGACUUGGGCGGGCGCCCUGCCCCCGGGCCCGAUCGGCCUCCCGUUCGUUCCCGUGGCUUCUGGAGUCUUCUAGAUGGUAGAAAAUUACGCGGCACAUUAAUAUCUCUAUGUAAACCCGACGUGUGGGCCUUUCUUUCAUAUUUCCUGAUAACCCCCUGCAGAAAUAGACAAACACCAAAACUCAUGGAAUUCUGUCAGAUAAAACCCUAAGUCUAGAUGUUGAUUUCAUUUGGAUCCUUUUCUUUGUUUAUUUGAUAAUUAAAUUUGAUACUUAAGGACCAUCAACAAACUCCCCCAAGCUUACCUCUUGCUCGUCCCUGAGCAAGGAUAGACUCAGCAAUGGAUCAGAAGUUGUUGCAAUAUUUUAAAAAUUUGACGGUACACAUGCUUUUAAAUAAGAUCUCAUCUCUGAGUUAGAGUAAACUGUCAAGAACUAAAACUUACUUACUUUACCUUUCACCAUGGGACUUGUAACCGUCACUUCUGUCUUGAGUAGUUAAAAGAUAGAACAGUCUAGCCAAGUGUCAUGUCUCUUAUCUUGAUCAGCUAUAGCUCUGGAGUUUUUGUAGAUUUUCAAAUAAAACUCAGAGAUUCCUUGUAUGACUCUCUAAAUCUCUCUUUUGUGGUAUCUCUGGAUCCUUACCAAGGCAGUGAUGGUAUAUGCCUUCUCUCAAGAUAUGUGGUAUUUGUGGUAUAAGGCAUAGUGACAUUGCCUUCUCUCUCACCCUACUCUAAUAAGGCUUUAAUAUCUGGAGCUCAUAGGUGGGAGACAGCUAAUACAUACUUACAAGACAUUUGUUGCAUAGUCAAACGAUGGAUCCAGAGAAACAAGUCAAUAAGUCAAAUCAAGAUGUGCAUGUGUGGCGAAUGAAUGGUGUAUGGUGAUGAUGGUGAUAACAAUGGUGGAAGUCUAAUUCUACUUUUGCUCUUUUGAGGGGAUAUAUACCUUCCUUGCUUUUUGAAACUUUAUGAGGAGAAUGAGAUGCUCUAUCUUUCAUUUAUUUCUUUCCUCUUAGGUGGGUAUCCUGUACCCCUAAUUCUACUGUCGGACACUUGUCUAUUUUUACCUCUCGUCUCACUCUUUUUCUUUUCUUUCGAGGUUCCGGGCACUUGCCCCUUUUUAUUUCCUCGUAUAUUUUUUCUCUCCUUUUUUUUAGAGCACUCAUCUCAUGAGAUAAUAUAGCAAGUGGUAGUAGCAAGAUAACUUGAGCAUUUAUUUCACAAGGGAAAACAGAAAUAUUUUUGGCUAUUCUCUCCCGGAUUAGGAGUAGAAUAUUUUUGGGUGGUUCUGGAGAUGGACAUGGAUGGAUAUAUGUGGAUGGUACUUCCGGAGUAGAAGUAGCAUAUAUGAGUGAACGUGCAAGUGAAUCUUGAUUUAACCACAUGACAAGCUCCUAAGGGUCUACAUAGCUUGACCACACUCAAUGCUCAUAAGCAGUAAAUAAUAAAUGUGUGGCUCAAAGUCUAGCAAGCAUGUAUAUAUAUGGUUGUGGUAGGAAUUUAAACUCUCAUCAUACAGGAACUC